Molecule: ribosomal RNA, 497 nt
Filed under: uncultured bacterium
Lineage: Bacteria
Description: partial 16S ribosomal RNA
Rfam family: Bacterial small subunit ribosomal RNA
Source: RNAcentral
GAUGAACGCUGGCGGCGUGCCUAAUACAUGCAAGUCGAGCGAACGGACGAGAAGCUUGCUUCUCUGAUGUUAGCGGCGGACGGGUGAGUAACACGUGGAUAACCUACCUAUAAGACUGGGAUAACUUCGGGAAACCGUAGCUAAUACCGGAUAAUAUUUUGAACCGCAUGGUUCAAAAGUGAAAGACGGUCUUGCUGUCACUUAUAGAUGGAUCCGCGCUGCAUUAGCUAGUUGGUAAGGUAGCGGCUUACCAAGGCAACGAUGCAUAGCCGACCUGAGAGGGUGAUCGGCCACACUGGAACUGAGACACGGUCCAGACUCCUACGGGAGGCAGCAGUAGGGAAUCUUCCGCAAUGGGCGAAAGCUUGACGGAGCAACGCCGCGUGAGUGAUGAAGGUCUUCGGAUCGUAAAACUCUUUUAUUAGGGAAGAACAUAUGUGUAAGUAACUGUGCACAUCUUGACGGUACCUAAUCAGAAAGCCACGGCUAACUACGUG